Molecule: long non-coding RNA, 340 nt
Filed under: Brachypodium distachyon (stiff brome)
Lineage: Eukaryota; Viridiplantae; Streptophyta; Magnoliopsida; Poales; Poaceae
Description: long non-coding RNA (BDIS_LNC000361)
Source: RNAcentral
UUCAAAAAGCCUUAUAAACUGGAAGGGAGGAGCAACAAUUAGUCUCCGCAAGAAAUAGCCCAAACAUUCAGAGUAGUAACGGAGUAAAUAAGCGCACCAGCACCAUGAAACAACUAAAUAACCUUUUUAUUCGCUCCUCUAGUCCCAGAAGGAUCCAUGGAGUUUCACGAGGCCGAUCACACGGCGGCAGCGCUAUGAACAAGACGCUAACAUCACGAAGCUAGAGACAAACAGGGGAGUUAAAACAAGUCGACAAAGCACACAGAAAGUCCUCGUCUCGAAGCCUCCUCUGUUUCAUUCAACCAUCUUAUUGAUUGUCACCCACCCCCUAAAGGGCGUC